Long non-coding RNA from Eriocheir sinensis (Chinese mitten crab), 2319 nucleotides. RefSeq lists it as uncharacterized. The record is from RefSeq and is a predicted model, not a curated record. The transcript has 2 exons. NCBI's taxonomy places the organism in Eukaryota, Metazoa, Arthropoda, Malacostraca, Decapoda, Varunidae.
CCGGCUCUGGCACCUCCUCUGCACCCUUGUUUGACACUCACAGCUCUGCGCUCCUUCCCUACACCCUCAGACUGUAUGCAUGGUAGGCUCGUUAAUCAGCUAAUACGCCUCAGCUUACACCCAUGCCUUGUAUCCUUGCGACAUGUACGUUCAAAGCAUCAUUUUUAAUAUUGAAAUCCAUGAAUGGUCAUCAAAGGUAAACAGAACAUUGAUAUAAACCCAGACCCAGAGUUCCCUUAAUGAGACAGAGGAAAUGUGUCUUGCCCAGGAACAGUCUCGGCCACACAGCAAAUUUAAGCAUCGUAAAUACCACCCACAUUAGUAACUGUAACAUAUUAGUGAUUGGAGCGCCUGUACUCACCUUCCUUACAUGCAUUGACGUAUAACCCUUUGUGAAGAAUACCGGACUAAAAUGAAAAACCAAGGUAGAUACAAUACUCUGAAACACGUUGGCUAUACUGGUUUGGCUGUUUCUUGUGCCGCACUUGGACGUGGCUGCUGACCCUCGCCCUCGUAGUGGUAACAGUGCACGACAGACUAAUGGGUGUGUGAACUGCCUGUGGUGAGCUUUGAACAUGCUGUAACCGUUGCCGCCAAGAAUAACCAUGAUGCAUUGCUUUGUAUAUGUUUGGAAUCAUGGCCAUAGUGUAGGUUGAUGUUUAUAUGUAGUGAUGUUCAAGGCUAUAUAUGAUUGCUCCAAUGUAUGACACCGAAAUUGACCUCUCUUGGCUACUCUUUACUUUUGGUUGUUAUGGGAGCGGCAAGUAGCAGGCUUUUUUUUUUUUUCUCACUUUUUGUUGCUCUUGUUUAUUAUGGGAGUGGCAAGUAGCAUCCUUUUUUAUUUUUUUUCACUUUUUGUUGCCCUUGAGCCGUCUCUGUUGUAAAAAAAAAAAAAGUCCCUAUCCUGGUCUCCCACAAUCACUGUACUGAGUCAACCUUUCACCCAUUGCUUGCAUCUCCUUAUUCCCUUAGUCCAUUCCCUUGCUCAUCCCCUCGCCCAGCACCCAUCGCUCACAUCCAGGCUGCUUAUUGCCAGUCACUAACCCUUAGACGGCGGUGGAACUCUACACAGACGGUCCAGAACUCAGUCAGUUUUGUAUGGCAGAAAUAUAACACUUCCAGACUGCGGUAGAAUCUAUAUGAAGACGAUAGUUAAAACGUCUCAUGCAGCGUAACUAUAUUAACUGCGGUCCUAAGGUUGGCAGUGACCAUAUAUAGACCAUUCAUUAUGGGGGGAGCUACUCUUCAGAUACUGCCGCUGUCUAAGGGCUAAACACCUUGGAAUGUCUUACCUGUGAAGAGAGACUGGCUUUUACUUUCCGUUCGUCUUCGUUUUCGUUCAGUGGAAAGAAAUUUGAUGAAGGGUGAUUUUGUGUCUAUUCUUGUUUGAGGGCUUCAGUCUGCAGCGCCCACCAUGAUUGCUUUUGCCACUAGAAGAGGUUAGUGUGAAUAGCCAAAUAGACUCUUGAGGUCCUUUUCUUAUAUGUAUUUACACCCAAAUUACAUGUACUCUAUAUAGACAACAUCCAGAUAAUGUGAAAGAAAAAAAAAUCACAACUACAUUACACGAUAAAUGAUUACGUUAAGGAGUCGGAGCCGGGAGUAUUUUUACCGACUCUGACUCCACGCCCCUGAUAGCUAGUGUUGCUUGUUUGGAAUACAGCCGUCCCUCAAAUAGUACAGUUUCCAAUAGUUCGGUUUUGGUUUUAUGUGGAUUUUCAUAGAAGAUUUUUUUAGGAUUUUUGAAUUUCCCAACGAGCAUGAAAUUUAAAAAUCCUAAAAAAAUCUUCCGUGACAAUCCGUAUAAAACCGAAACCGAACUAUUGAAAACCGUACUAUUUGAGGGAUGACUGUAAUUGUGUUUUCCUUCUCGCUGAUCUGAUAACCAACACAGCUGAGGAAAUGUGUCUUGUCCAGGAACAGCCUCGGCCACCCAGCAAAUUUAAGCAUAGUAAAUAGCACCCACAUUAGUAACUGUAACGUAACCACUGUAAUUAGUACCUGUGUAUUAGUGACUGGAGCGGCUGUACUCACCUUCCUUACAUGCAUUGACAUAGAACCUUUUGUGACCUUCAUUGCUGAUCUGUAUAGCCCUUUGUGACCUCCAGUGCUGAUACUGUAUGGGCCGUAUUGCUAAACCUUUCGUCACCUAAGUUCACAUAUUUGACAAGGCUUUCACAGGAGUUUGGGACAUUUCCAGGAUUAGCUUUAUGACCCUGGUGGUAGUUUGAUCCCUCUUCUGUACCGUGAACCUGAAGAAACACUCAUUAGAGCCUGAUUAACCCUUUCUUUGACCUUUAGAAGUAGCUGAUGUGAGAA